RNAcentral lists this ribosomal RNA (433 nucleotides) under uncultured bacterium. RNAcentral describes it as "partial 16S ribosomal RNA". It matches the Rfam family "Bacterial small subunit ribosomal RNA", at positions 29 to 507 of the family's 1533-position model. The record is from RNAcentral.
AACGAACGCUGGCGGCAUGCCUAACACAUGCAAGUCGAACGAGACCUUCGGGUCUAGUGGCGCACGGGUGCGUAACGCGUGGGAACCUGCCCUUAGGUUCGGAAUAACUCCCCGAAAGGGGUGCUAAUACCGGAUAAUGUCUUCGGACCAAAGAUUUAUCGCCCUUGGAUGGGCCCGCGUUGGAUUAGCUAGUUGGUAGGGUAAAAGCCUACCAAGGCGACGAUGCAUAGCUGGUCUGAGAGGAGGAUCAGCCACACUGGGACUGAGACACGGCCCAGACUCCUACGGGAGGCAGCAGUAGGGAAUAUUGGGCAAUGGGCGAAAGCCUGAUCCAGCAAUGCCGCGGGAGUGAUGAAGGCCUUAGGGUUGUAAAGCUCUUUUACCCGGGAUGAUAAUGACAGUACCGGGAGAAUAAGCUCCGGCUAACUCCGUG